AACGGUCUUUUCGGAGAUAGUGGCGGACGGGUGAGUAACGCGUAAGAAUCUACCUUCAGGUUGGGGACAACCACUGGAAACGGUGGCUAAUACCCAAUGUGCCGAGAGGUGAAAGGCUUGCUGCCUGAAGAAGAGCUUGCGUCUGAUUAGCUAGUUGGUGGGGUAAGAGCCUACCAAGGCGACGAUCAGUAGCUGGUCUGAGAGGAUGAUCAGCCACACUGGGACUGAGACACGGCCCAGACUCCUACGGGAGGCAGCAGUGGGGAAUUUUCCGCAAUGGGCGAAAGCCUGACGGAGCAAUACCGCGUGAGGGAGGAAGGCUCUUGGGUUGUAAACCUCUUUUCUCAGGGAAGAAAAAAAUGACGGUACCUGAGGAAUAAGCAUCGGCUAACUCCGUGCCAGCAGCCGCGGUAAUACGGAGGAUGCAAGCGUUAUCCGGAAUGAUUGGGCGUAAAGGGUCCGCAGGUGGCAUUGUAAGUCUGCUGUUAAAGAGUUUGGCUCAACCAAAUAAGAGCAGUGGAAACUACAAAGCUAGAGUGUGGUCGGGGCAGAGGGAAUUCCUGGUGUAGCGGUGAAAUGCGUAGAUAUCAGGAAGAACACCGGUGGCGAAGGCGCUCUGCUAGGCCAAGACUGACACUGAGGGACGAAAGCUAGGGGAGCGAAUGGGAUUAGAUACCCCAGUAGUCCU
Molecule: ribosomal RNA, 688 nt
Filed under: Aphanizomenon gracile HSSASE16
Lineage: Bacteria; Bacillati; Cyanobacteriota; Cyanophyceae; Nostocales; Aphanizomenonaceae
Description: bacterial SSU rRNA
Rfam family: Bacterial small subunit ribosomal RNA
Source: RNAcentral